Molecule: non-coding RNA, 399 nt
Organism: Arvicanthis niloticus (Nile rat)
Lineage: Eukaryota; Metazoa; Chordata; Mammalia; Rodentia; Muridae
Source: the annotation of a RefSeq genome assembly
AUGAAAUCCUUGAGUGUUUCACUAGUGGUCCUGUGGCUUCAGCUAAAGUGGGUGGACAGCCAGCAGAAGGUGCAGCAAAGCCCAGAAUCUGUGAUUGUCCCAGAGGGAGCCAUGACCUCUCUCAACUGCACUUUCAGCAGCAGUUCCUCUUACUCCUUCUGGUGGUACCAACUGCAUCCUGGGAAGGCCCUCAAGGUGCUGAUGUCCAUAGUCUCUGAUGGUGAAAAGAAAGAAGGCAGAUUCACAAUUCACCUCAAUAAAGCCAGCCUGCAUGUUUCCCUGCACAUCAGAGACUCCCAGACUGAUGACUCUGCUCUCUACUUCUGUGCAGUGAGCACACAGUGCUCCCCAGGCACCUGCAGCCUGCACACAAACCUACUGCACAGCAUCAAGCCCUGA